AAAUUGAAGAGUUUGAUCAUGGCUCAGAUUGAACGCUGGCGGCAGGCCUAACACAUGCAAGUCGAACGGUAACAGGAAGCAGCUUGCUGCUUCGCUGACGAGUGGCGGACGGGUGAGUAAUGUCUGGGAAACUGCCUGAUGGAGAGGGAUAACUACUGGAAACGGUGGCUAAUACCGCAUAACGUCGCAAGACCAAAGAGGGGGACCUUCGGGCCUCUUGCCAUCAGAUGUGCCCAGAU
RNAcentral lists this ribosomal RNA (239 nucleotides) under Salmonella enterica. Its description in RNAcentral is "partial 16S ribosomal RNA". It matches the Rfam family "Bacterial small subunit ribosomal RNA", at positions 1 to 236 of the family's 1533-position model. The record is from RNAcentral. RNAcentral also lists the same sequence under 2 other names. Lineage: Bacteria; Pseudomonadati; Pseudomonadota; Gammaproteobacteria; Enterobacterales; Enterobacteriaceae.